Molecule: ribosomal RNA, 625 nt
Filed under: uncultured fungus
Lineage: Eukaryota; Fungi
Description: LSU rRNA
Rfam family: Eukaryotic large subunit ribosomal RNA
Source: RNAcentral
ACCCGCUGAACUUAAGCAUAUCAAUAAGCGGAGGAAAAGAAACCAACAGGGAUUGCCUCAGUAACGGCGAGUGAAGCGGCAACAGCUCAAAUUUGAAAUCUGGCCCCUUCGGGGUCCGAGUUGUAAUUUGUAGAGGGUGCUUCGGCUUACGGCGUGGUCUAAGUUCCUUGGAACAGGACGUCACAGAGGGUGAGAAUCCCGUACGUGGCCGCGCCUUCCGCCAUGUGAAGCCCCUUCGACGAGUCGAGUUGUUUGGGAAUGCAGCUCUAAAUGGGAGGUAAAUUUCUUCUAAAGCUAAAUAUCAGCCAGAGACCGAUAGCGCACAAGUAGAGUGAUCGAAAGAUGAAAAGCACUUUGGAAAGAGAGUUAAAAAGUACGUGAAAUUGUUGAAAGGGAAGCGCUUGCGACCAGACUUGACCGCGGAUGCUCAGCCGGCCCUCCGGCCGGUGUACUCUUCCGCGGUCAGGCCAGCAUCAGUUUGGGCGGCCGGAUAAAGGCCCCGGGAAUGUGGCUCCCCUCGGGGAGUGUUAUAGCCCGGGGUGCAAUGCGGCCCGCCCGGACUGAGGACCGCGCUUCGGCUAGGAUGCUGGCGUAAUGGUCGUAAGCGGCCCGUCUUGAAACACGG